CCUACGGGGUGCAGCAGUCGAGAAUCAUUCACAAUGGGGGAAACCCUGGUGGUGCGACGCCGCGUGGGGGAAUGAAGGUCUUCGGAUUGUAAACCCCUGUCAUGUGGGAGCAAAUUAAAAAGAUAGUACCACAAGAGGAAGAGACGGCUAACUCUGUGCCAGCAGCCGCGGUAAUACAGAGGUCUCAAGCGUUGUUCGGAAUCACGGGGCGUAAAGCGUGCGUAGGCUGUUUCGUAAGUCGUGUGUGAAAGGCGCGGGCUCAACCCGCGGACGGCACAUGAUACUGCGAGACUAGAGUAAUGGAGGGGGAACCGGAAUUCUCGGUGUAGCAGUGAAAUGCGUAGAUAUCGAGAGGAACACUCGUGGCGAAGGCGGGUUCCUGGACAUUAACUGACGCUGAGGCACGAAGGCCAGGGGAGCGAAAGGGAUUAGAUACCCUUGUAGUC
This 446-nucleotide ribosomal RNA is filed under the name uncultured bacterium. Its description in RNAcentral is "partial 16S ribosomal RNA". It matches the Rfam family "Bacterial small subunit ribosomal RNA", at positions 338 to 795 of the family's 1533-position model. The record is from RNAcentral.